CCUACGGGCGGCAGCAGUGGGGAAUAUUGGACAAUGGGCGAAAGCCUGAUCCAGCCAUGCCGCGUGUGUGAAGAAGGCCUUCGGGUUGUAAAGCACUUUCAGUGGGGAAGAAAGCCUUGGGGCUAAUACCCUCGAGGAAGGACAUCACCCACAGAAGAAGCACCGGCUAACUCCGUGCCAGCAGCCGCGGUAAUACGGAGGGUGCGAGCGUUAAUCGGAAUUACUGGGCGUAAAGCGCGCGUAGGCGGUCUGAUAAGCCGGUUGUGAAAGCCCCGGGCUCAACCUGGGAACGGCAUCCGGAACUGUCAGGCUAGAGUGCAGGAGAGGAAGGUAGAAUUCCCGGUGUAGCGGUGAAAUGCGUAGAGAUCGGGAGGAAUACCAGUGGCGAAGGCGGUCUUCUGGACUGACACUGACGCUGAGGUGCGAAAGCGUGGGUAGCAAACAGGAUUAGAUACCCGUGUAGUC
This 465-nucleotide ribosomal RNA is filed under the name Vreelandella stevensii. RNAcentral's name for it is "partial 16S ribosomal RNA". It matches the Rfam family "Bacterial small subunit ribosomal RNA", at positions 338 to 795 of the family's 1533-position model. Lineage: Bacteria; Pseudomonadati; Pseudomonadota; Gammaproteobacteria; Oceanospirillales; Halomonadaceae. The record is from RNAcentral.